ACGUCAGGAGAGCUACCUCAGAGUAGACAGUAUCCUAUUUCUCCUCUGUACAGCCUCCUGCUUUUGAUUUUGCUCAAGGAGAAGGGGACUGGGAGCCAAGGCACAUUUUAUAGGCUUGUGAGUUCCCAGCGUCACGAAGGGAGUGGAGCGAUAAGCUCCAUCGGCUGCUGCUGUAAUAGUACAGAACAGGCUGUAACACAGAACCAUCUUCAGCAUCAUGACUCAAGAAAAUUUUAAUACAUGCUGGAAAUGAGUGAAAAUGGACCACUGAAGAAAUAUUUAAGGAGACUGACAUUAACAAAGAGAAAAGUACUAAGAUCUUAAAUUGUCCAUUUUACUCACACUGCCUGGAGUACCUAUUGAUAGUAGUAUCUCAAACGACAGAGUUGUACCCAGGAAUUCAAGAAAGGAGAUGAGCUCCCUCCAAGACAGGACCAGAUGUUUUUGAAAAAUAUUGUUUCACUCCAAUAACUCCAAGUCUAACUUCAUCCUCUGGUAACCUACUACAGAUAUUUGUUCCCUUGACCACUCCUAUUGGUGGUCCCAUUACCUAGUUAUAGCCUCUCAAAAGAGUCUGUUCCUGUCUUCCAGUCAGGAUUGCAAUUUGUAGUAUCCUCUACCAACAGUAAUCUGUAAGAUUGUUAAAUCCACAACAUCCCUUUUAAUGUCCCUCCUUUUGUCCUUGCUUUUGUUCCCUGCCUGAUCAAACUGUUCCCUCUUUUAUUGCCAUUCUCAAAGCCUAUGCACAGUCUUUAAAACAUUUUAGUGAUUUUAGUCCUUUCAGACUGAAAUCCUUGAUUCUUCUCUGCCUUGUAGACUGAUUUCCAUCUGUCCAAUUGCCUCUUCUACUUGUAUGGCUUAUUUGCAUUAUGUUGUUUCCUAUAUGAGAAACGAGAGCUUUCUUCUCAUCAUUCUAUCAUCAGUCUUGGUAAUUUGAUGCAGCCAGGAGUAACACCUGAAAAGUUCUGGGACAAUAUUUGGAUACAUUUGUUGUCAAAUUCAGCCAAGUGUUCAAGGAGCAUGUGGGACCUGUGGCCCUGAGGAGCUAUAGCAAGGUUCAAAUGCUGCUGAAUUUCACAGCAUUGCUCUGCAUCAUGACAUCCAAGUGAUCUUUAGUAAACAGCUUAGGCAAAAUGACAUAUUUUCCAAAGCCAUCUUCUGCAGAACAUAUGAAAAUUUCCCCUGUGCACCCUGCAACUCUCAAAAUCAUUAUGAAAGUUUCUAUGAAAAUAAUCUAACUUUGCUAGCGAGGACAUAGAAUUGUUUAGGUUGGAAAAGACCUCUAAGAUCAUUUAAUCUAACCCUUUAACCAGACCUUCCAGGUCCACCACUAAACCAUGUCCCUAAGCCCCAUAUCUGCAUAUCUCCUAUAUGCCCCUUCAGCUUUUUUUGUCUUUUAAAGUUGUAGCCACUGAAAGAAAAUAGACUUAGAGGUACAGGAGUAGUAUUAUAAAUUCUGCUUGAAUUAAUGAUCUAGUUCAUUGAAAAAAAAGAAAAAAAUCUUAUUUCUUUAAAUAACUAGAAUAUCACUUUUCUAUGAGGGCUCUUAACCUGCUCUCUUGGCAGAUCUCCCAUGACUGGGCUAUUUCUUGACUUUGGUAGCUCACUAUGUUGAGACCAUUGUCUAUUAACUUAGUUAUAUUUUGAAAUCAUGCUCUGAAGUUCAAAUCCCUUAGAAAGGGAAAAGAAUAUUUUUUUGCCAUUGAAAGUAGAUGCAGGGGUUUGGAAAGAACAACUAGUUCUUUAUAACAAUUUCACAUCACAAGUCAGACCAUAUAUAGGUGUAAAAAAUUUAAAAAAUAAGCUGUAUUAAUUUAAUGUACAGCAUUAGUGAUCACUUCAUCCACAUGUGUAUUAAUCACUGACUUCAAGAUGAGUGUAUUAUAUGGGAUUAGCAGCUAUUUUCCAAACAUUUUUGCCUUUUCUGUAGCACUGAACUCAGUCAUGCCUCCUUUUCCAUCAACAUGGGAUAAAUAGAUAGUGUAGCCCCAUGUGACAGACUGAAAGCUAAGGGAUCUGAAAACAUUAACUUCAGUUUGAGAAAUUAAGUGCUGGGAUCCCACUUUUUCUGCCAUUUAAGAAACUUAAUUAAAAGAAAUUUAAGACUUCAACCCUACAUCACUGUUCACACAUCCAAAAAGAAUAAGGCCUUUUUGUGUAAAAAUUAAUUGGGCAGCAGGGAUUUCCCCAUGACCUUAAAAUCCCUGCACUUCUUCUGCCUCCCAAUAGCCAAACAGGCUGGAGUUAGAGCUACAGAACUGAGUCAGAGCUAGGAGGUUAGUGCACAGGAAUAUGGUUUAGGAGUUUCAAGAUGUAGGGCUCUUGCUUCAGGAAUUAGUGAAAAGAAUUGGAUUGAGUGACUAGUGUAGAGUGUAGGGUUAGAGAUGAGGGUUGAGGACUAACUGAAGUGGUCUGAAGUCACCCUUUUGCCAUGAUGAGUCAAUCUCCAUGAUUUUUUUCUCAUACACUGAAUCAUCAAUUUGAUGCUCUGAAGGGACCUGAGGACUUCUGAGCUAUCAAGAGUGAGGAGAACCUUUUUACACAAAAUUCCCUGUAGAUAAUUCUUCUUUGUGUGAACAUCCACUCUGAAAAUAGAAAGAGGUUUUAUAUGACUACGUACAAAUGAGGAAAUCAGGUAUUGGAAGACAGUGGAUUCUGGUACAUGGGAUCAAAACUGACAAGAAAAUUAAUUGAUUUAUGGGUGUUAGUGGGUUCCCUUCCACCAAACAGGUUGACUGAAUCAGUGUGCCAGGAAAGAAGAGAGCUCAGAUGGAUGGACAUCAGUCAGCUGGUAUGUGUCUGAUCCAAGAGUGCACGAAUCAAAUGGUUCAUCCUAGGAGAGGAAGGGAAGGACUAGGUAUACAAUAGAGAUGAGAAAGGGGAAAGAGUAGCUGAUAACAUUAUUACAAUUACAACAGAAUUUUAAAGUAUUGUCAUGAAAUGGGUUCAUAGCCACACAGGUCACCUACUAUGGUUCAAUUCUGUUUUGUAUCAGUUUAUUAGUUAGGAGAUAAAUGUGAAAUUGCAUUUCAUUUGCAAUUGAUGCUUAAGGCUAUUAGUCAAUAGUAGGUAUUGAUUCAACUAAAUCAGCUUUAAGGCUGAUUUAGGUUUAGUUGGUCUAACAUUUAGGCAUAGGCAAGAUAUUUCAAGAUCUAGACAGGAAUGAUACUAUACCCUCUAUAAAUUUUCUGUGGUACUGAUUUUCAGUGUGUUUCAGCAUGUGAAAAAUAUCAUAGGAUAUGUCUAAUGUUCUUCUGUAAACCAGAAAUAACCAUUGUUUUGCAUCUUUUCAUAAAUAGGAUUGUACUUUGCCAAUAGAAAUUCUAUUACUUCUUGAUAAAAAUAUGAAAGAUGGAGAGAAGGUAGGGAUAAAAAUAAAUUCACUGCUUGGUAUUUUAUUGAAAUUCCUAUAAAAUCUUAGCUGAAACUGAGUAUGAAGUGGCUUGAAUAGAGCUACAAUAAUAAGCCAGCCAGAACAGUUAAUACAACAGGCAACUAGUAACAUCAGUCUGUCUGGAAAUUAGUAUUUGGAAGAGUUUUAUUAAAUGUCUCCUUAUGUAAGCACUCAGUGAGGGUAUUGAUAAUAAUUUAAUGAAAUCUGAAGAUAGUAGUGAAAUUAUGAAAGAGGUGCUCACAGUAGCUGAAGCAGAUAAUAAAAUAUUAAUUUUAAGAAAAUACAAAUUUAUAACAUAAGAAAAUAAAAAGGUGAAUGUUGGCAAAAACAAAAGAGGAGGUAGUUUAUAUAGCUGUGAUGGACCUCAGCAAUGACUUACAAAAACUCACAUAUGCAAAGACUCACAUGAAAAGCAGUUUAACAAAGGAGAUCUCAGGUGACAGAAAUGUGGUAGAAAACAAUGAUGGCUUACAGUGAUGCUGCAAGGAUAACCCCUUCAAAACUGACUUGCUGUGCAACAGCAUCUAAGGUAGGAAACUCUUUUUAUGGCACUGAGGUGACAACUUAGAACAAGUUAUUAUCCGAGAAAUAACAAAACAUAGGCAUUUCAAAGACUGGAAACCAUCCUGUGCCAUUCCAUUCUGUGAUGGUAAAUUCAAGAGAGCACAAAAUUGGGGUGAAUUUUAAGAGUUUUGGCAAAAAAUAAAAAAAAAAUUAAGCUGUCAGGACUGUUCUCCAUAGCUACUCUAAUACUGAUGUACAUAUAUUUAAAUUGCUUAUGGCAGGUUGAAAAUAAAAAAAGAAAAAUGCCCCACAUACAGAGAUAAACUGUGUAAUUCCUUACCAAAGGUUAUUGCAAAUACUAAAAUGUUUCUGGUGUUCAGAACUGAUUUGAUACAUUAACAGAAGAAAAAAUUAUCUAGGCUAUUAAGAGAAAGAUGUCAGCUGUGGUCAGGAAAUUUUAGAAUAAUAAACUAAAAGCUAGGUGUCAGUUCUUGAGAAAUAUAAUUCUCAUUUUCUUUCUACUUUUCUCAAGGAAUCCUCUACUGGUGUUACUGAGUACAGUAUACUGAGACUGAGACCUUCUGUCUGACAUUUUAUGGUUGGUUCCAUUUUCUCUCUAAAUAUUCUUAAACCUAAAGCUGUAUCUUAUCUAAACUCAUUAAGUGAUCCUCUUAUUGCAAAUCUUUCUCUUUACCUCCCAGAGCUCAUAGAAGUGGUUACAGAGUCCAUGUGGUCCAUUAAAAAAUGAGACACCAGUUUUUCACUAAAUAGUCUCAUUUAAAAGGAAGACAUUUUCUGGGAAGAAUGAGACUAUAAGUAAUCAGAAAUAGCCUUACCUUAAUAUGCAUUUUUUUGCAACAAUUGGGAAAAAAUAUAUUAUUCUAGUAUGUCACACAUCCCUUCCUUGCAAACUGCUGAUUUCCUAUGCUCCUGAUCGCUUAAAAAUUGACAUAAAUUACUGUACUGGAACUUGCUUUACAAACUGCAUAUGAGGUGAAGGUGGAAGUGCUUAAUGUCUUCUUUUCCUCAGUCUUUAGUGGGAAGACAGCUUGUCCUCAGGACAGCUGUCCUCCUGGGCUGGUAGAUAGUGUUAGGAAGCAGAAUGGUGCCCUGAUACCCCAGAGGAGACAGUCAGAGAACUGCUGAGCCUCCUGGAUGUUCAUAAAUCUAUGGGACCAGAUGGGAUCCACACCAGGGGGAUGAGGGAGCUGGCAGAUGAGCUU
Parus major (Great Tit) is the source of this 5121-nucleotide long non-coding RNA. RefSeq lists it as uncharacterized. NCBI's taxonomy places the organism in Eukaryota, Metazoa, Chordata, Aves, Passeriformes, Paridae. The transcript has 3 exons. The record is from RefSeq and is a predicted model, not a curated record.